RNAcentral lists this ribosomal RNA (373 nucleotides) under uncultured organism. Its description in RNAcentral is "partial 16S ribosomal RNA". It matches the Rfam family "Bacterial small subunit ribosomal RNA", at positions 527 to 896 of the family's 1533-position model. The record is from RNAcentral.
GUAGGUGGCAAGCGUUGUCCGGAAUUAUUGGGCGUAAAGCGCGCGCAGGCGGUCCUUUAAGUCUGAUGUGAAAGCCCACGGCUCAACCGUGGAGGGUCAUUGGAAACUGGGGGACUUGAGUACAGAAGAGGAAAGCGGAAUUCCAAGUGUAGCGGUGAAAUGCGUAGAGAUUUGGAGGAACACCAGUGGCGAAGGCGGCUUUCUGGUCUGUAACUGACGCUGAGGCGCGAAAGCGUGGGGAGCAAACAGGAUUAGAUACCCUGGUAGUCCACGCCGUAAACGAUGAGUGCUAAGUGUUAGGGGGUUUCCCGCCCCCUUAGUGCUGCAGCUAACGCAUCAAGCACUCCGCCUGGGGAGUACGGCCGCAAGGCUG